CAGGCGCGAUAGGUAGUUGCCGGUGAAUUUUUCACGGGAGGAAAGUCCGAGCUACACAGAGACAAGACUCCACCUAACGGGUGGCCGGAGUAAUCCGAGGGCAAGUGCAACAGAGAGAAGACUACCGCUUUGGCGGUAAAAGGUGAAAGGGUGGGGUAAGAGCCCACCAGUGGUUAUGGUAACAUAGCUAGCUAGGUAAACCCUGUCUGUAGCAAGAAGUACAUGGUAAAAGUCUCUAAUUUGGCAGUAAUGCCAAAAUAGUACUUCGCUUGAGCAUUGUAGCGAUACAACGCCUAGAUAAAUAACUACCCACGACAGAACUCGGCUUAUUUCGCGCCUAACUU
Molecule: RNase P RNA, 344 nt
Filed under: Sulfurovum sp. AS07-7
Lineage: Bacteria; Pseudomonadati; Campylobacterota; Epsilonproteobacteria; Campylobacterales; Sulfurovaceae
Description: bacterial RNase P
Rfam family: Bacterial RNase P class A
About the family: Ribonuclease P (RNase P) is a ubiquitous endoribonuclease, found in archaea, bacteria and eukarya as well as chloroplasts and mitochondria. Its best characterised activity is the generation of mature 5'-ends of tRNAs by cleaving the 5'-leader elements of precursor-tRNAs.
Source: RNAcentral